This 468-nucleotide ribosomal RNA is filed under the name uncultured bacterium. RNAcentral describes it as "partial 16S ribosomal RNA". It matches the Rfam family "Bacterial small subunit ribosomal RNA", at positions 28 to 507 of the family's 1533-position model. The record is from RNAcentral.
GACGAACGCUGGCGGCGUGCUUAACACAUGCAAGUCGAACGGAAAGGCCCUGCUUUUGUGGGGUGCUCGAGUGGCGAACGGGUGAGUAACACGUGAGUAACCUGCCCUUGACUUUGGGAUAACUUCAGGAAACUGGGGCGAAUACCGGAUAGGAGCUCCUGCUGCAUGGUGGGGGUUGGAAAGAUUCGGCGGUUGGGGAUGGACUCGCGGCUUAUCAGCUUGUUGGUGGGGUAGUGGCUUACCAAGGCUUUGACGGGUAGCCGGCCUGAGAGGGUGACCGGCGACAUUGGGACUGAGAUACGGCCCAGACUCCUACGGGAGGCAGCAGUGGGGAAUAUUGCACAAUGGGCGGAAGCCUGAUGCAGCAACGCCGCGUGCGGGAUGACGGCCUUCGGGUUGUAAACCGCUUUCGCCUGUGACGAAGCGUGAGUGACGGUAAUGGGUAAAGAAGCACCGGCUAACUACGUG